Molecule: transfer RNA, 82 nt
Filed under: Elusimicrobiota bacterium
Lineage: Bacteria; Pseudomonadati; Elusimicrobiota
Description: Elusimicrobia bacterium (groundwater metagenome) tRNA-Leu
Rfam family: tRNA
About the family: Transfer RNA (tRNA) molecules are approximately 80 nucleotides in length.
Source: RNAcentral
GGGCGGGUGGCGGAACUGGCAGACGCGCACGGCUUAGGACCGUGUGCCGCGAGGCUUGGGGGUUCAAAUCCCCCCCCGCCCA